This is a non-coding RNA of Hordeum vulgare subsp. vulgare (domesticated barley), 123 nucleotides long. The record is from Rfam. Lineage: Eukaryota; Viridiplantae; Streptophyta; Magnoliopsida; Poales; Poaceae.
CAUAUACUUCCUCUGUCCGGAAUUACUUAUCGUCAAAAUAAAUUGAAAUGGAUGUAUCUAGAUAAAAUACGUCUAGAUACAUCCAUCUCUCUCACGAGUAUUUCCGGACGGAGGGAGUACUCA